AACACUGUUAACCUGCGGUACCUGCGGAGGGAUCACUAUAGUAUAUGGAAUCUCCAUUCUAUAAACCCACUCUGCGUAUCUUGUAACUGUUGCUUCCAUGGGACUUGGUUCCGCCACACCGGCUUCACGGCUGGUGAGCGCCCAUGGAAGGAGAAACAAAACUCUUCUUUGAAAUGUAGUCAGUCUGAACAAGUUUUUAUAAACGUUAAAACUUUCAACAACGGAUCUCAGAUCGGAAGA
This 240-nucleotide unclassified non-coding RNA is filed under the name soil metagenome. RNAcentral's name for it is "partial contains 5.8S ribosomal RNA, internal transcribed spacer 2, and large subunit ribosomal RNA". The record is from RNAcentral.